Penaeus monodon (black tiger shrimp) is the source of this 216-nucleotide long non-coding RNA. RefSeq lists it as uncharacterized. The record is from RefSeq and is a predicted model, not a curated record. The transcript is spliced from 3 exons. Lineage: Eukaryota; Metazoa; Arthropoda; Malacostraca; Decapoda; Penaeidae.
CAAGUACAAUGUGCAAAGAUAGAAAGGAAUGCUUGCUCUGGUCGACGCGGGCGACGCAGAAGGGAUAAAGGCCGCCCUCGCCGUCCACUCGGCUGAUGCCCUCGAAGAAUUUGUCGACGAGUGUCCGCUGCACUUGGCCGCCCGGAGAGGCCGCGAAGAGGCGGUGGAGGCGCUGCUGGCCGAGGGAGCCGACCCCAAUGGCCAGGCCGCUUUUGG